AUGUCGAUGGAUCGGGAGAAGGAGCGGGAGGCGGAGCUGGAGGGCGCCAUGUACACCAACUGCCUCCUCCUCGGCCUCGAUCCCGCCGUCCUCGGCUCCCCCGCCGGCGCCGGCGCCGCCCCCGCGCGCGUCGGCCUCUUCCGCCACUCCAACCCUCGCCUCGGCGAGCAGCUCCUCUACUUCCUCCUGUCCUCGCUCCGCGGCCCCGCGCAGUCCGCCAAGGACUUCGACAAGGUGUGGCCCAUCUUCGAUUCCGCGCAGUCCAGGGAGUUCCGCAAGAUCGUGCAAGGCGUCAUCAGCGAGCUGGAGCAGCAGGGGGCGCUGCCGCGGAGCAACUCCAGGGUUUCGUCCCUCGCCACCUGCUGCGGGCCGAGGUUCGUUGAGCUUUUGUGGCAGCUCUCUGUCCAUGCCUUGAGGGAGGUCCACAGGAGGACGUUUCCGGCUGAUGCGGCAUCAAAUCCACUGCCGGCGGCGCUCACAGAUGUCUCUUAUCUUCAUGCUGCUGCAUUGCUUCCUGUAACCAAGGCAAGGAUUGCUCUCGAGAGGAGAAAAUUUCUAGAAAAUGCAAAUAUUGCUGUUCAAAGGCAAGCAACCUGGUCCAAUUUAGCACAUGAAAUGACUGCUGAAUUCCGAAGUCUAUGUGCUGAAGAGGCAUGUCUGCAGCAGGAGUUAGAGAAGCUACAAGUUAUGAGAAACAAAGCCAAGCUAGAGGGGGAGCCGUGGGACGAACGCAUCUCAAGCUCGUCUGGACAGAAUUCACAUUUGGUAUCUAAGGCAACACGUUUGUGGGAAUCGAUAUUGGCUCGCAAAGACCAGCAUGAGGUUUUAGCUUCCGGUCCAAUUGAAGAUCUUAUAGCUCAUCGUGAGCAUAGGUAUCGUAUAUCUGGAUCGCAGUUGCUAGCAGCAAUGGAUAUGGGUUCAAGUUUGGACAAGCAGGAGCAGAUAUCUUUGUUCCAGGGAAAGGAAGAAGCCCUUUCAAGAUUGGAUGAUAGGAAUGGGCGUGCCCAACAAACUGUUGACGUAGCUGAAAUUCUUCGACGGUGGACUCAUGCUUUGCAGCGUAUUCAUAAACAAUCUCUUCAUUUGGCCAAAGCAAAUGAUGGGGAGGGGCCAGAAUUACUCCGUAGUGCGUCUGACGGCGAAAGUAGUAGCCAUGCUGACUCAUUAACUGCAACACUGGCCGAACAUCGCCAGCAUUUAGUCAGUAUACAGGGCCUAAUUAAUCAACUCAAGGAAGCUAUUCCAGCAAUGCAGCAGUCAAUAGCAGAACUUUCAGAAGAAGUGAAUAGUGUACCUAGUAAUCCAAUGGAUCAAACAAACUCCAGACAGUUAUCUGUGCAAAAUACAGUGCUUGGAAGAUCAGAAGAAAGCAGCAGCGAAGUUUCAGAGAUGACUUCUAAGCUCUCUUCAAUGCGCAUUGACAAGGCUGGGAGUAGUCCUGCUCUGAAGCUUCCUCCUUUAUUUAGCCUGACUCCAAGUUCUUCUGGAAAAGGAACACAGACACAAAGACGGAAUGCCCUAGCACGGCAACCUAGCAAAGAAAUUAUGCCGGAAGAGAAAGCACUUAUUGACCUCUCAACCAAAGAUCAAGCAAAUGGUUCAGUGCACGAAAAUGAUGGUUAUUUUGCCCAUGACAUCAGACGUUCUGUUCGUGAAGCUGCUCUGUCAAAGCCAUUGAGCAGCAGGGAGAGUGCACAGGACAAGAGUAGUGACGAUGGUUCAGAGCACUUUUUCAUUCCCCUAUCAACAGUUGCUUCAAGGAAGGAUGUGGGUGCUGUGGCAAAUCGAAGAAAACAAAGGACAGGUCUACCGUCGUCACAGCCGAAGUUGCCCAAGAGCACAGGUGAUCCUUACUUCAAUCCUGACAGCCCAAUGCCUGCAGUCCCAGCUCUGUCAGGUAAACUGAAUGGUUAUGAUGAUCCAAGCAGUGCUACAAACUUAUUUGAUCCAGUCAGUAGUCAAUCGUUUAUGACGGAUGAUGCUCUUGAUCAAGUGUUCUCCCCGCCACUUAUGUUGGAGCCUUCCUUGUUCCACGACACGUACGCGUACGAGGACUUGCUUGCACCAUUAUCAGAAACUGAUGCGGCUUUAAUGGAACAUUAG
Molecule: ribosomal RNA, 2103 nt
Filed under: Triticum aestivum (bread wheat)
Lineage: Eukaryota; Viridiplantae; Streptophyta; Magnoliopsida; Poales; Poaceae
Description: partial small subunit ribosomal RNA
Source: RNAcentral